GAUGAACGCUGGCGGCGUGCCUAAUACAUGCAAGUCGAGCGAACAGACGAGGAGCUUGCUCCUCUGACGUUAGCGGCGGGCGGGUGAGUAACACGUGGAUAACCUACCUAUAAGACUGGGAUAACUUCGGGAAACCGGAGCUAAUACCGGAUAAUAUAUUGAACCGCAUGGUUCAAUAGUGAAAGACGGUUUUGCUGUCACUUAUAGAUGGAUCCGCGCCGCAUUAGCUAGUUGGUAAGGUAACGGCUUACCAAGGCAACGAUGCGUAGCCGACCUGAGAGGGUGAUCGGCCACACUGGAACUGAGACACGGUCCAGACUCCUACGGGAGGCAGCAGUAGGGAAUCUUCCGCAAUGGGCGAAAGCCUGACGGAACAACGCCGCGUGAGUGAUGAAGGUCUUCGGAUCGUAAAACUCUGUUAUUAGGGAAGAACAAAUGUGUAAGUAACUAUGCACGUCUUGACGGUACCUAAUCAGAAAGCCACGGCUAACUACGUG
This 497-nucleotide ribosomal RNA is filed under the name uncultured bacterium. RNAcentral's name for it is "partial 16S ribosomal RNA". It matches the Rfam family "Bacterial small subunit ribosomal RNA", at positions 28 to 507 of the family's 1533-position model. The record is from RNAcentral.